RNAcentral lists this long non-coding RNA (1703 nucleotides) under Heterocephalus glaber (naked mole-rat). RNAcentral's name for it is "lncRNA (ENSHGLG00000037531.1)". Lineage: Eukaryota; Metazoa; Chordata; Mammalia; Rodentia; Bathyergidae. The record is from RNAcentral.
AAUUAAAGGAAGGCCGGAGGGGAGGGGAGGGGGAGGGGAGGAGAGGCCAAGCCUGGGAAGGCGGAAGGGCGCUCCUCGCCGCCGGGGAUGCGGGGGAUGCGGGGGGAUGCGCUGCUUCUCCAGGUGAGGGGGCGCAGAGCCCUCCCACACCUCCCACUCCCCAGCCCCAGAGCAAACUGUGGCCCUCAGAGAGCUCUGCGCACCCCAGCCUGGCUUCCCCACGGUCCCACACUCUCUCGGGACCCUGUGCUUUUACUUCUGCCCUGAUUGCUCCGCUGGACUCCUGGUGGUGGGAUUCAGGGCAGGCUCGUUCUGGGGGCCGAAGUCUAGAACAGGACGGGGCUGCCUGUCUCCUGGAAGCGAGGGGAGGGGCUCUGGGCCGCUGGCAUCCUGGGCCCCUGGCCCUCCCUCCGGGAGCAACUCCUCAGUUCCCGGGACGGGAUGUGGCAUGUUUGGAGGACCCUGGUAGCCGGGAGGAUGUGGCCUCAUCUGUUCACCCAGCACACCCCCUGGCACGGCACGGUGCCCUGCAUACAGGAGGCGCUCAAUAAUUGCUGGCCGAGUAACCGGAUGACAUGAGAGCCUAAAUCACGGCAUUGGACAUCUACAGCCCUGAGGGGACUGGAGGCAUGAGAACCCCCUCAGACGGGCCGAAUCAGAACCUGGCAGAUUUGGGGCAAGGCUGAAAACAUCUAUGUGGUGUGAUCAAAAGAUAUGGUGAAUAUGAAUAUAUAUUUUUCCUGAACAUUUAUUAUAGUAAAGACACAUUGUCAUGAAUCUCCCUCAAAAUACUCCCCCUCGCUUUAAACAUGCUUAUCCCAUCUUUCUUGCAACUCUCUGAAGCAGUUCUGGAAGUCCUCUUUCAUGAGUGUCUUUACAAAGUGUGAUCAGGAACAGAGGCGGCGGCUGCUGCUGAGUGCUAUCCAAGGGAAAGGCAGGCCCAUAAAAAUAUGGUGCUGUGUCUUUACCUACCUUACUCCCUGGAUCUGGCACAGAGUUCUGGCUCUUCUCCCAAGCCAAAAUGACCACGAAAAGUAAAUGUUUUGGAUAGAUUCAGGACAUCAAGGCAGGUGUGAUAGCACGAUUAAAGACCCUCACAAAGGAAGACUUCCAGAAGUGCUUCAGGAAGCGGCAGGAAUGAUGAGAUAAAUGUGUUCAAAGCAAAAAAAAGUAUUUUGAAGGGGAUUAAUGACAGUAUGUCUCUUAUUGUAAUAAUUAAAAAUUUUUUCACAGUCAUACAUUUUUUACCACACUUUAUAGCUAUGGUUUAAAGCCUUGUGGAGAAAUAAGGUAUUUGUCACCACUGCCAUAAUUCACUCAAUAAAUAUUUCAUGAGCACCUGCUGUACCUCCAGUAUGUUAUAGACCCUGCUCACGGUGAAUGGUGAGGAAGGACAGCAGGGUUUCUGCCUCAUAGAGUAUACAUCAAAGCUGGGGGGUCAGGGACAAAAGCCACUGCACGAAGAAACAAAUGAGGACAUUGGCAUUUGAGUUGAGACAUAAAUGAUGAGAAGGGACCAAUCCUUUAAACAUCUGGGAAGAAGGGUAGUCCAGGCAGAAGGAGCAGCAAAUCCAAAGGCUCAGGGGCAGAAAAGAGCUUCCCGGUGUGAGGAACAGCCCAGGUGCCUGUGUGGGAGCAGGGUGAACAGUGUGGAUUUGCUGGCCGGGGUAAGAGCUUAUAUUUACCACAGUCACAAAGGUGGG